GCCAGACUCCUACGGGAGGCAGCAGUGGGGAAUAUUGCACAAUGGGGGAAACCCUGAUGCAGCGACGCCGCGUGAGUGAAGAAGUAAUUCGUUAUGUAAAGCUCUAUCAGCAGGGAAGAAAAUGACGGUACCUGAGUAAGAAGCCCCGGCUAACUACGUGCCAGCAGCCGCGGUAAUACGUAGGGGGCAAGCGUUAUCCGGAUUUACUGGGUGUAAAGGGAGCGUAGACGGCAAUGCAAGUCUGGAGUGAAAGGCGGGGGCUCAACCCCCGGACUGCUCUGGAAACUGUACGGCUGGAGUGCAGGAGAGGUAAGUGGAAUUCCUAGUGUAGCGGUGAAAUGCGUAGAUAUUAGGAGGAACACCAGUGGCGAAGGCGGAUGACUGGACGGCAACUGACGGUGAGGCGCGAAAGCGUGGGGAGCAAACAGGAUUAGAUACCCUUGUA
RNAcentral lists this ribosomal RNA (445 nucleotides) under uncultured bacterium. Its description in RNAcentral is "bacterial SSU rRNA". It matches the Rfam family "Bacterial small subunit ribosomal RNA", at positions 330 to 792 of the family's 1533-position model. The record is from RNAcentral.